UACAAUCCGUGAACUGGCGGAGACCAAACUUGAAAAUUAAUUAAUUAAUCGAAUUAUCAUCUCUGCACGUGUCUCCUUUUUGUACGCUCUGUAUGAUUUCAUUGUUUUUUAUUAUUACAAGUACUUUGUGUCAAGUUGAAUCUGUAUUGAGAAAAUAAAGAAGAGUUAUGACUAAGGAUGGUAAUUGUACCCGCAAACUCGUAAAUUUAUCUAAAUUCACCCGUUAAAAUUCGUUUGCUGUGGGUAAUUUUAUCCGUUGCGGGUGGGUUUAGUAUUAUAAACUAAAAUCCGCAUAUGGAUGCGGGUGUGUUUGGUAUUAAUCUUAUAUCUGAUGGAUACCCGCAUGGAUAUCCACCAAACCCGCAAUAUUUUUUUCAAAUAUUUUUAAUUUAAUUUUAAUCUAAAAAUGUAUAAAGAAAAUAAUGUCAUUAUUUAAAUUACCAAAUAGUCAAAAGCUCAAAGUUGUAUAUGUGUGUAUGUGACCCAUCUCCCAUUCUAAAGUCAUAACCUAAAGAAAACUAAAGUCAUUUCCCUUCGAAUUAAUAUUUGAAAAUAUUAAUCUUAAUUAUUAUUAUAGGCAUUGUGUUGGAUGGGUGCUUAUGGUGGUGAAUGAAAUGAAUAUCUUCUCUUGGAGCUUGUUUUAAAUGAUAAUAUGAAAUGUAAUUAUUAUUUUUAGAUACUAAUUUGUAUUUUUUAAAUGAAUUUGUGUAAUUUAUACUUAAAUUUGAGAAUUUGUGUUGAAUUGAUGUGGAAAUUUUACUUUUUUAUUUACAUUAUUUAAAUAUAAAAUUGAGUAUGUUAUAUGGAAUUUGAGGUUAUUAUUAUAAAUUUAUAUAUUAAACAUUUGUGAUUUUAAAUACGGAAACCCGCAAAAAAUCCGCCGGGUACCAUUGCGGGUUUGGUAAUUGUUAAAACCCGCUGUGGGUGGGUUUUUUUAAAAAAACUAAAACCCGCUGCGGGUUGCGGGUGGGUUUGGUAAUUUAAAUUUUGUGCGGGUUUGGGUUUGGUAAUGGCAAACCCGCUGCGGGCGGUGCCCAUUGCCAUCCCUAGUUAUGACAUAUUUAUUAUACUUUGACGGGACAAAAAUUAUACAUUACUUUUAUGGAACAAUUUUUUCAGAUAUAUGGAAUGUGUAGCUAGAUCAAGAGAUAAAGAGUUAAAGAGUUGAGAUUAGCUUCAAUCUCCAUAGCCUAAAGUUCAUCCUAUAUUAAUGUAGGAUUUUUCCUUAAUUAACAUCUGUUAUGUGCAC
This 1249-nucleotide long non-coding RNA is filed under the name Citrus maxima (pomelo). RNAcentral's name for it is "long non-coding RNA (CMAX_LNC003658)". Lineage: Eukaryota; Viridiplantae; Streptophyta; Magnoliopsida; Sapindales; Rutaceae. The record is from RNAcentral.